AAAGGGAAAAUAGAAAAUCCGUGGCAAAUAAUUUGUGAUUUUAGUUUUAAACCAUAAUCAGUUGAUAGCUUCUUUAGCAUUUACAUAAAAGCAGGUCUGGUUUUUUCAAACUUCAACGACUGCGUUUUGAGUUCUGAUAUUCCAUUUUUGCAAAAAGUAAAUCUUCAAUUAUGGCAAGCUUGCUAGGUGCUGCCUCAAAUGUGAUAAACGCUGCCUCAAAUGUGGUUGAAGAA
RNAcentral lists this unclassified non-coding RNA (233 nucleotides) under Hevea brasiliensis (rubber tree). The record is from RNAcentral. Lineage: Eukaryota; Viridiplantae; Streptophyta; Magnoliopsida; Malpighiales; Euphorbiaceae.